This 726-nucleotide long non-coding RNA is filed under the name Brachypodium distachyon (stiff brome). RNAcentral's name for it is "long non-coding RNA (BDIS_LNC002877)". Lineage: Eukaryota; Viridiplantae; Streptophyta; Magnoliopsida; Poales; Poaceae. The record is from RNAcentral.
UGGUACUGUCCGAAGUUGACGGCGGCGUGGUGCCCUGACGUGACCCACAUGAUGAUGGUAAGGAUCUGCACGAGGUUGUCCCGGGAGUCGCACACCGGCCACCACGGCUCGUCCUUCUUGUCGGCGUGUCCCUUGGUGCGCACCUCCUCCCACCAAGCCUGCACCUCCUUGUCUCCGGUGACAUCCUCGUCAGAUUUGUAGUAGAACUUGACGUAGUCAGACACCCACUGCUUGAUGGAGUUCCAGAUGAGGAGCCCGUCGUUGGCGUAGGGGUAGUCCUUGAUGGUGAGCUCGAGCUCCCCGUCGUCCCCACGCACAGCAAGGCCCCGUGUGACGAGGUCCUCCGGUAGCGCCUCCGUGUCAAAUCGCCAUGUCGCAGCAUACGCCACGGAACUGAGCUCGAUGGAGUACUUCCCAGGCCAGAAUGCCUCCUCGAUGAUGCCGUCAGCGUUGAUGAGGCUCUCCCUGGCCAGCGCGUUGAUCUCCAUGGUGUAUCGGAAGUGCGGGUGCAGGAGGCGGUACACCGGGUGCAUCCGGCUGAGCUGCCUGUUGGCGGCGAUGAUGUAUGGCUCCACGGAAGCGUGUGUGCGCAGCCAGUGGCUGACCAACUGGUGGUAGCCGGUGUCGUGGGUGAGCACAUGUGCCUUGGCUAUCUUCCAGAGCCACGACUCGGUGGCAUCGGGGCCGUGCGUGAAGGCACGCUUCCACUGCGGUUUGGUCGGGGAC